GACGAACGCUGGCGGCGUGCCUAAUACAUGCAAGUAGAACGCUGAAGAGAGGGGCUUGCUCUUCUUGGAUGAGUUGCGAACGGGUGAGUAACGCGUAGGUAACCUGCCUUGUAGCGGGGGAUAACUAUUGGAAACGAUAGCUAAUACCGCAUAACAAUGGAUGACACAUGUCCUUUAUUUGAAAGGGGCAAUUGCUCCACUACAAGAUGGACCUGCGUUGUAUUAGCUAGUAGGUGAGGUAAUGGCUCACCUAGGCGACGAUACAUAGCCGACCUGAGAGGGUGAUCGGCCACACUGGGACUGAGACACGGCCCAGACUCCUACGGGAGGCAGCAGUAGGGAAUCUUCGGCAAUAGGGGCAACCCUGACCGAGCAACGCCGCGUGAGUGAAGAAGGGUUUCGGAUCGUAAAGCUCUGUUGUAAGUCAAGAACGGGUGUGAGAGUGGAAAGUUCACACUGUGACGGUAGCUGACCAGAAAGGGACGGCUAACUACGUG
RNAcentral lists this ribosomal RNA (497 nucleotides) under uncultured bacterium. RNAcentral describes it as "partial 16S ribosomal RNA". It matches the Rfam family "Bacterial small subunit ribosomal RNA", at positions 28 to 507 of the family's 1533-position model. The record is from RNAcentral.